This 479-nucleotide ribosomal RNA is filed under the name uncultured bacterium. RNAcentral's name for it is "partial 16S ribosomal RNA". It matches the Rfam family "Bacterial small subunit ribosomal RNA", at positions 28 to 507 of the family's 1533-position model. The record is from RNAcentral.
GAUGAACGCUAGCGGGAGGCCUAACACAUGCAAGCCGAGCGGUAUUGUUUCUUCGGAAAUGAGAGAGCGGCGUACGGGUGCGUAACACGUGUGCAACCUGCCUUUAUCUGGGGGAUAGCCUUUCGAAAGGAAGAUUAAUACUCCAUAAUAUAUUGAACGGCAUCGUUUAAUAUUGAAAGCUCCGGCGGAUAGAGAUGGGCACGCGCAAGAUUAGCUAGUUGGUGAGGUAACGGCUCACCAAGGCGAUGAUCUUUAGGGGGCCUGAGAGGGUGAUCCCCCACACUGGUACUGAGACACGGACCAGACUCCUACGGGAGGCAGCAGUGAGGAAUAUUGAUCAAGGGGUGCAAGCCUGAACCAGCCAUCCCGCGUGAAGGACGACUGCCCUAUGGGUUGUAAACUUCUUUUGUAUAGGGAUAAACCUACCCUCGAGAGGGUAGCUGAAGGUACUAUACGAAUAAGCACCGGCUAACUCCGUG